UCGGCCUCCCAGAGUGCUGGGAUGGCAGGCGUGAGCCACUGCACCCGGCCUAUUUCAGCUGUUUUCUUAAAGCACAAAGCAACCUACACAUUCUUCUGUGAUACCAGCAGGCACCUUGAAAUAGGUCGCCCAGGAGGCAGUGGUUGCAGUGAGCCGUGAUUGCACUAUUGCACUCCAGUCUGGGCAACAAGAGCAAAACUCCAGACUCCGUCUCCUAAAAAGGAAAACAGCUGAAAUAUAACGCAGACUGAGGCCCAGCCCAGAACGGGUAAGCUGGGUGCACGCACCGUGAAAACAGCACCUGGGCCUGCUCCCGUUCUCCCCGCUUUGCAGACGCCGCCUGAACCUCGGUGCCUCCUUGAGGUCGAGGCUGUGAGUUAAACGGCUCCACCCCAGCCCGGCCCCAGGUUGGCCCAGCCAUUCCCUGUCGGGGGCCAGGGAGGAAAGGGAGCUGUGUGGGCACCAGAGGGGCAAACUGAGGUCUGAGGGUCGGGGAACAGCCCGGCAGUAGGAACUGGGAGCGGAGCACAGGGGAAAUGUGGAUACGCUCAGCUCCCUACAACCGCAGUGAGCGUGUGUGCAGGAGGGCCUCACGGGGCGGUGUGAGUCUGGCCUGCCUGGGCUUGGGGGGUUUUACAGACACAUUUCAGCCCCGCAGCAGGGGCUGGGGAGGUCCCGCUCAUGACAGUCUCUGCACCAAGGGCAGGAGGGGCGGAAGCUGCCUGGAGAACUACCACUCCAUGGCCUGUGGGCGUCCGGGGUGAGCGGCGGCGAUGGCGUCCCAUGGAGGAAACACUGGAAGUCGUGUGGAAGGUGGGAAGAUGCAGGCUGGAUUGCGGAGAAGGACUGAGACCCUGCCUGGAGCGUCUCCACCAGCAGCAGGCCGGCCCCUGAGGGGAGAGAGCAGAGAGCUGGAGUCCUGGCCAGCCACGCAGGGAUCCUUCAGCGGGACACAGGGGACACAGCAGGCAACAGGAGCUCAGAACGCAAGACCAGCCCACGGCUUCCGCCUCCUGUGCAGCCUCCGCAAUGUGAAGACAAGAAUGAAGGCCUUUACGAUGAGCCACUUCAGCUUCAUGAAUACUCGCGGCGACCCUGCUGAGUAACUUGUGGACUUUGGCGUCUGGCCAGUCAUGCAGGAUCCGGCACAGGACGUACAGCUCAGCGCUCGGGAGGGGGUCCCUGAAAAAGUCACCUGGUUUAAAGACAAAAGGCGACACAUCCGUCAGGUGUCCUUUUAAGAGAUAGAAGAGGAGACAGACUCAGAGCAGAAGGCCAUGUGGAGACAGGCAGAGACUGGGGUGAUGCAGCCACAAGCCCAGGGACGCCUGGAGCCCCCGGGAGCUGGGAGAGGCAGGAAGG
This is a long non-coding RNA of Nomascus leucogenys (northern white-cheeked gibbon), 1362 nucleotides long. RefSeq lists it as uncharacterized. Lineage: Eukaryota; Metazoa; Chordata; Mammalia; Primates; Hylobatidae. The transcript has 6 exons. The record is from RefSeq and is a predicted model, not a curated record.